UAAACAAAGGGCUCUUACAAUUUAGUA
RNAcentral lists this small RNA (27 nucleotides) under Bombyx mori (domestic silkworm). RNAcentral describes it as "ovarian small RNA-18085". The record is from RNAcentral. Lineage: Eukaryota; Metazoa; Arthropoda; Insecta; Lepidoptera; Bombycidae.